GUGCCCCCACACUGCCUCACGUACCACAGGAACCAGAGAGCAGAGACUUCAUGAGGCUCAGACGUGACGUUGACAUUCACAAAGAAGGUGGCAAAUUCUUUAACAGCUCUGCAUAAGACACAGGACCAGAAACUGGCAGGAGCUUAUCAGGCACAUCACUUCCAAAGUCUGACGAGUCCUGAGGGACUCAACUAACCAUGCAACCAGGACAUUCCCCAUCUCCCACGUGAUGCUGCUGCACAGACCUUUCAUGAAACCAAGAAUCAGACACGGUGUGUUAAAAGUUUGCGUGGGGUCACGUGGCAGGAUGCAGGGAACAUGUUGGACCAUGACAGGACUCCUAGGCAUCUUACUGCAGGACUGAACACAGAGCUGUUUUCCAAUGGUUAAUCAUGAUGACUACUGCAUGUUUCCAGGAUGCGUUCACCCUGUGAAAAUGGUUUAGGUUUUCUGCUUCUAAAUGUUAUAGAAAAUAUAUUGCUUAAAUUGUAAUAUAUCAUGAAACUGCCUGCAGCUUCCAAAACGAUCGGGACUGCUCACUAUUGCUGACUUGUUUCUUAUAUGUGAUCUAAUUUAUUUCAGUAGUUCUUGAUUAUGUUUUUCCUGCAUGGAAGUCCAUAGAAAAUAUUUUACAAUUUUUUUUAUAGUUAAUUCUUUAAUUCUUUCCGUGAUGGUGUUCUCCCUAAACAUAAACAUAGAAGACACAAGUCUAUAAUG
This is a long non-coding RNA of Grus americana (Whooping crane), 717 nucleotides long. RefSeq lists it as uncharacterized. The record is from RefSeq and is a predicted model, not a curated record. The transcript is spliced from 4 exons. Lineage: Eukaryota; Metazoa; Chordata; Aves; Gruiformes; Gruidae.